CCUACGGGGGGCAGCAGUGAGGAAUAUUGGUCAAUGGACGAGAGUCUGAACCAGCCAAGUAGCGUGAAGGAUGACUGCCCUAUGGGUUGUAAACUUCUUUUAUAUGGGAAUAAAACGUUCCACGUGUGGGAUUUUGUAUGUACCAUAUGAAUAAGGAUCGGCUAACUCCGUGCCAGCAGCCGCGGUAAUACGGAGGAUCCGAGCGUUAUCCGGAUUUAUUGGGUUUAAAGGGAAGGUAGGUGGAUUGUUAAGUCAGUUGUGAAAGUUUGCGGCUCAACCGUAAAAUUGCAGUUGAAACUGGCAGUCUUGAGUACAGUAGAGGUGGGCGGAAUUCGUGGUGUAGCGGUGAAAUGCUUAGAUAUCACGAAGAACUCCGAUUGCGAAGGCAGUUCACUGGACUGCAACUGACACUGAGGCUCGAAAGUGUGGGUAUCAAACAGGAUUAGAUACCCGUGUAGUC
This 460-nucleotide ribosomal RNA is filed under the name uncultured bacterium. Its description in RNAcentral is "partial 16S ribosomal RNA". It matches the Rfam family "Bacterial small subunit ribosomal RNA", at positions 338 to 795 of the family's 1533-position model. The record is from RNAcentral.